RNAcentral lists this long non-coding RNA (1993 nucleotides) under Canis lupus familiaris (dog). Its description in RNAcentral is "lncRNA (ENSCAFG00000058877.1, ENSCAFG00805011451.1)". The record is from RNAcentral. Lineage: Eukaryota; Metazoa; Chordata; Mammalia; Carnivora; Canidae.
UGAGGUGCCUUAUUGUGCUGUCUUAUGGCCACUUAAUUAGAUAUGUGCGCAGAGUGAUCUAGGAGCACAGAGGAAGGAACAUUGAUAUUUUUUAGAGAAAGAUUUUGAAACUAGAAUCAUAGUAAAAAACACUAUACUAUAUACACUAUAAGUUUGAGGUUUAAAGUUUAUGCCCAUAGGCUUAGAAUGGUGAGUGGUAAGGAAACUUUCAAAUUUUUUACAUAUGAAAUUUAAAAAGUGAAAUUAAAAAGAAAAUGGAAUUAAAAAAUUAAAUAAAUUGCAGCACACAAACUAGCCAUGUUAUCAGAUAAAAAGUAAUGUACUGAAACUUUUGACAAAUUGUUAAUUUAUCAAAUAAUUUCAAAUGUUUAUAGAAAACACAGAUGGUUACUUCUAGCUAAAGAAAAGAAAUAUAGAAAACAAUAAUACAUAAAAUCAGUUUAGCCAAUCUCUGUAUUUAUGUGACAUUGUCUUUAUUUUCCCACCUCCACAAAAAGGCAUAAUGUUUGAUGUUAAUGUGAUGGACAUAAUUCCCAAUUCUGGGGCCCAUACUGUUGCUCUAUUUCUUUGUUCCUACUCACUAAAGCAUAUAUCUAAUAUAUAUUUAGAUAUAUAUUUACAUCGAAUAAAAACAAAUAAAAAAUUAAUGAUAGAAUUUGAUAAGUUGGUAGAUCUGCAUCACGUAAACAAAAGGAAUCAAUUACUUUUUAAAAAAGAUUCUUUUAUUUAUUCAUUCAAGGAAGCGAGUAGAUCAGAGGAAGAGUGACAAGCAGACUCUACACUGAGUGGAGAGCCUGAAAUGGGGCUCAGGGGCUCAGGACCCUGAGACCAUGACCUGAGCUGAAGCCACCCAGGUGCUCCCUAUUUUCUUUAUCGUACAAGAAAUAUCUAGAAAUGGUACCUUUCUCAUCAUGAUACAACUAUAAAAUAUUUAGGAGUAAAUUUAACCAGAAGAGUAGCAGACCUAUACAAACAAAAUAAGGACAUCUAGUUAAAACCAUAAAGCAAAAUUUGAAUAAAGGGUUAGAUAUAUUAUUGGAUGGAGAAGGCAAUAUCAUGAAAAUGUCAAUUUUCCUAAAGGUUAACAUAUAUAUUUCAUGCAAUUUCAACAAGAAUCAUAACAGAUUAAUUUUUUUCCACUGGAUCAAAUAAUCUUAAUGUCCAGAUGGAAGAAUAAAUGUCUUAGAGCAGCCAACAAAAAUGUGAAAAAGAACAGCAAGAAGUUAUUUUUCAUAUUAGAUAUCAGAACAUACUAUAAGGUUCUGUAGUCAACUAAUUAUGGAAAUAAAUGAAUAGAUUAGUAGAAAAGAUUAGAGAAUGAUGGAAAUAUUAAAUAUAAGGAAUUAACAUUGACAAACACAGUGGCUUCAGUUUUUUCUGUAGGAGAAUAAAAAUGGAUCCCUGUCUUGUGCCAUACACAAAAGUGAAUUUCAGAUAGAUUAAAAUACAAAAAGUUUAAAAAUGUAUAAAUGAUUAAAAAAUAUAGGGGUUAGGGAAACUUUUUUAACCAGAGCUAAUAACCCAUUAUAUAUAUCAAAAUUGUACCUAAGCACUUAAAAAUGGAAAACCUUUGUAUGGAAACCAAAACACACAAUGGAUUCAGAAAACACAGGUAGUCAUGAUGGUUAGUAUUUAUAUAGGUAAGAAAAUCUGUAAGACAAAGGCAAAUAAAUAGCUCGAGAAAAAUGGGCAGAUGUUAUAAAUACGUGAUUCACAGAAGAGCAAAUACAAAUGGUCAACAAACAUGAAACAAUGCUCAAAUUUAUAUGUUGAGAAAUAUAAAUGAAAGUAAAAAUGAGAUAGAACUUCAUAAAUAUUAUAGAGAAAUUAAAGACUAGUUAUGCAAAUCAUUGGUAGGAAGAUAGAAAAAGGGUUGUUCGUAUAUUGCUGAUGGAAAUAGCAUCUUCCGAAGGUCUUUGGAAAAAUUCAGGAUUCUGUGCUAUUGUUGAUAGAGGCUGAAGGAGAUGGACAAAGGAUAAAAGGACAUGGGAAA